AGCAGGAUAGAGCAGUCUGGAAGCUCGCCGGGCCCAUAACCCGGAGGUCGAGGGUUCGAGUCCUUCUCCUGCAA
RNAcentral lists this transfer RNA (74 nucleotides) under Caudoviricetes sp. RNAcentral describes it as "tRNA-Met". It matches the Rfam family "tRNA". From Rfam's summary of the family: Transfer RNA (tRNA) molecules are approximately 80 nucleotides in length. Their secondary structure includes four short double-helical elements and three loops (D, anti-codon, and T loops). Further hydrogen bonds mediate the characteristic L-shaped molecular structure. tRNAs have two regions of fundamental functional importance: the anti-codon, which is responsible for specific mRNA codon recognition, and the 3' end, to which the tRNAs corresponding amino acid is attached (by aminoacyl-tRNA synthetases). tRNAs cope with the degeneracy of the genetic code in two manners: having more than one tRNA (with a specific anti-codon) for a particular amino acid; and 'wobble' base-pairing, i.e. permitting non-standard base-pairing at the 3rd anti-codon position. The record is from RNAcentral. Lineage: Duplodnaviria; Heunggongvirae; Uroviricota; Caudoviricetes.